GAUGAACGCUGGCGGCGUGCCUAAUACAUGCAAGUCGAGCGAACAGACGAGGAGCUUGCUCCUCUGACGUUAGCGGCGGACGGGUGAGUAACACGUGGAUAACCUACCUAUAAGACUGGGAUAACUUCGGGAAACCGGAGCUAAUACCGGAUAAUAUAUUGAACCGCAUGGUUCAAUAGUGAAAGACGGUUUUGCUGUCACUUAUAGAUGGAUCCGCGCCGCAUUAGCUAGUUGGUAAGGUAACGGCUUACCAAGGCAACGAUGCGUAGCCGACCCGAGAGGGGGGUCGGCCGCACCUGAACUGGAACCCCGUCCAGACUCCUACGGGAGGCAGCAGUAGGGAAUCUUCCGCAAUGGGCGAAAGCCUGACGGAGCAACGCCGCGUGAGUGAUGAAGGUCUUCGGAUCGUAAAACUCUGUUAUUAGGGAAGAACAAAUGUGUAAGUAACUAUGCACGUCUUGACGGUACCUAAUCAGAAAGCCACGGCUAACUACGUG
Molecule: ribosomal RNA, 497 nt
Filed under: uncultured bacterium
Lineage: Bacteria
Description: partial 16S ribosomal RNA
Rfam family: Bacterial small subunit ribosomal RNA
Source: RNAcentral